RNAcentral lists this long non-coding RNA (1998 nucleotides) under Brachypodium distachyon (stiff brome). RNAcentral's name for it is "long non-coding RNA (BDIS_LNC003071)". The record is from RNAcentral. Lineage: Eukaryota; Viridiplantae; Streptophyta; Magnoliopsida; Poales; Poaceae.
CUGUCUGCAACUCCAUAUAUGGAGUCAAAAUAGAAAAGAAUUUUGAGCUCAAUCUGUAAAUGUACACGAGUUCAAGCGCAACAAGGAUAAAAAAACUAUAGGCCGGUCUUAUAUAUCGCGCUAGUUAUAGUAUCACAGGCAGGUGCACAAUACAUAAUUUGUACUAUUGGUGACUUUGGUCUAUCGACUUAAUUUCAAAUAUGCAACUGCAAAUACUUGCUUCUAGCAUUAUAAUGCAAUCAAUACAAGUUGGAAUACAAAGCCAGAGAGAGGCAUGUAAAGAUAAAUAAAUAAAUCCUGAAAAACUUAGGUCAUACAGAUCAGGUCAAUUAAUUGAGUGGGAAAAAAGUUGUCUUGGCAGUGACCUCAUGUCGUCCAUCAAAUAAUGAAUCGUUGUAUUUGAGGUGGCACCUUGGAAGACUCAGAUCGAGGCAGGUGAAGGCCAAAGUUCUCUAUCGGUCUCAAAAAGAAAGAGAGUGAUUUUUUUAUUCCUGAAUGUACUGCACGUCCUAUCCUGUCGAUCCAACGUCUUGCCCUCUCCCCCCCCCCCCCCUCUUCUCUCCACACGCACCGGGCCCCUCCCCCUCCAGGCGCAGCCACUCCCUCUCUCUCCACUGCCACCGCCUCCUCCCCUCCCUCCAUCACGCGGCCAGCAUGGGCGGGCCCAGGAUUUCCAAAAUUGGUAUUCAAAAUUUUAAUGUAAAAAAAAAUGGACAGCCAAAAGGCAUGUAUUUUGGCAUAUAGAAGAUAUAGGCCUUGUUUGGAUCUCUGGCUUGCCUUGCUUAGCUAGGCUAGGAAAAACUAGCUCAGCUGGUCAUAGCUAGGAGGAGCUGGGCUUGUAGUUUGGUUAACAGCAAUUGCAAGCACGACUUGGCAGCGGUUUGCACCAAAGAAAGCAGAGCGAUGUGCUUGCCCGUGCGGGCUAGCCGAAUCGGCUCUCCUCCGAUGGCAAGCUUUUUCGUGCAGUUAUGGCAUAUCUUGCCUAGCAAAGCAAGAUUUUUUCUCCCCAACCAAACGAUUAUCCUAGCCAAGCGAGGCUACAACUCUCCUAGCCUGAGAUCCAAACGCACCCAUAGAGUAGAACUGAGCACAGGUUGAAUACGCAAAAAUAAUUGGUAUUCUACCACUAUAGAAGAUAUGGAGCAGAACUAGGUAUAUGUACUACAUAAACUAUAUAUAUCUACUCUCUCCGUUCCAUAAUUCUUGUCGAAACAGAAACAGGCCAGAUGCCAAACAAGCUUCAUUUCACAAGUGUCUACAAGAUAACAACAAGUUCUGCAGCAACCAAGCAUUUUUUUUCCUCUUUUUUUGAACUAAUGCAAAAUCUGUUACAUAAACAGUGCAUGAACAUCGCCAGGUAUGUUGAUCUGUCUGCAACUCCAUAUAUGGAGUUAAAAUAGAAAAGAAUUUCCAGCUCAAUCUGUAAAUGUACACGAGUUCAAGCGCAACAAGGAUAAAAACUAUAGGGCGGUCUUAUAUAUCGCGCUAGUUAUAAUAUCACAGGCAGAUGCACAAUACAUAAUUUGUACUAUUGGUGAUUUUGGUCUAUCGACUUAAUUUCAAAUAUGCAACUGCAAAUACUUGCUUCUAUGAGUCUAGCUAGCAUUAUAAUGCAAUCAAUACAAGUUGGAAUACAAAGCCAGAGAGAGGCAUGUAAAGAUAAAUAAAUAAAUCCUGAAAAACUUGAGUCAUACAGAAUUGGAAGGUUUGCAAUGCAAAAGUCAUAUAUUCUCCAGUAGUGUAACAACUUUCUUGUUAGGUCAAUUAAUUGAGUGGAAAAAAUCAGGUUGUCUUGGCAGUGACCUCAUGUCGUCCAUCAAAUAAUGAAUCGUUGUAUUUGAGGUGGCACCUUGGAAGACUCAGAUCGAGGCAGGUGAAGGCCAAAGUUCUCUAUCGGUCUCAAAAAGAAAGAGAGUGAAUUUUUUAUUCCCGAGCAUACUGCACGUCCUAUCCUAGCCGCACAUUUCAGUCGAUCCAACGUCUUGCCCUCUCUCCCAC